RNAcentral lists this microRNA precursor (179 nucleotides) under Gossypium raimondii (Peruvian cotton). RNAcentral's name for it is "miR8684 stem-loop (gra-MIR8684)". Lineage: Eukaryota; Viridiplantae; Streptophyta; Magnoliopsida; Malvales; Malvaceae. The record is from miRBase by way of RNAcentral.
UAUGCUAGACCAAAGAGUAAAUCAUUUAUUUCUAUUAAAAAUUUCAUCUAUUUAUACUAUUAAAACUUGGCAUGGUUGACAAAAUAUGUACCUCUUGUUGACUUAUAAAAAUCAGUUUUUAACAAUAGAAAUGAAUAUAUUUUAUAAUAGAAUGACUGGUUUACUCUUUGAUCUAACAU